Molecule: long non-coding RNA, 1387 nt
Filed under: Anser brachyrhynchus (Pink-footed goose)
Lineage: Eukaryota; Metazoa; Chordata; Aves; Anseriformes; Anatidae
Description: lncRNA (ENSABRG00000015875.1)
Source: RNAcentral
ACUUCAGCAGUCAUCAAAAGCACGGGUGGAAUCCCAGCUCGCAGACACGUGGUGGGGAGCACUUCUGUCUCCUUCCCAACCACGCCACACGUCUCCCCUCACAUCAUUCCGGUCCAUUACCUAAUAUCUGAAUGGGAUGCAUUGAGCCUCUUCCAGGAAGUAGACCAUUGCUAUGAACUUCAAGAAACUGGACAAAGCUUUAUUCUUACUGUAAGCCUGCAGGUAUGGGUCUUGCUUCACUCGAUGGCAGAGCCUGGUUACUGGCAUCAGUGGGGAGAGCACUGGGUCUCAGUCCGUGAAGGAAGAGGGAAGAUUUGUGGUUUGGAGGGGCCACUGAGCUGUUUACAUUUGAUUUGUUACAUGUUGAAUGUUUCUUGCUGGUCUUAACCCUCUUCCCCAGUUGUACAUGUGAUUCUUCAGGUUUUACAAAAUGGGUUUUUAAGAAAAUAUUUUCUUUCCUGGUGGGCCAAAGAGCCUGCUAUGUUGUGAUCUUGAUGUAUUAACUAGGCAUCUUUUUUGACUUUAGUGUUCUUUAAAGUUACAUGUAGUCUGAAGCACUUUGGAAAUCUGUAUUUCUAACCCAGGCUUUCCCAACUUCCUUUCAUCUGAAAGACUUCGUAACCUUCCAAGUAUAUAUAUGUUAAAGGAAACAAAGGAGAAUGGGAGGUAUACUGUCAUGACUACUGCCUUUAUUCUGCCUGAGUGUAAAUUUUUAGAAACUCGGCUGUGUAAAUCAGAAGAAAGGAGGAGCAAAAAUAUCACACCUCUAAGCGCAUGUGUAGGACCAUAUAUUCUUAUUUCAAUCCAGACCAUGACCUGAAAAAGAGAGAGAGGGGGAGUCGAUUAAGUGCUGGGUUCAGAGGGCGGAGAGCAUGUGUAUCCAGGGGCUGCCGCUUGAUGCCUGCGCUUCAGUCCUGGUACUGGGAGCAGAGAGCCCUGAGCUAAUCCCACAGCACGAGAUGCUGGGGACUGCGGUGCAGAGAGGCAUGUGCUGGCAACUCCUGAAGCCUGCCUAGGUCUGGAGCCAGCCCCGCUGCAUUCAGGAGCGCUGUGCUAGAGGUAAGGCCGCAUCCUGCAGGGUCUCAGCAGAGUGCAGCACUGUGCGAGUCGAGCCAGCCAGCUGCUGGGCUCGUCUGGAUCGCGGGACCCUUGUGGGCUCACAGGUGUUGUGGCUGUUCAGCUGCCUAGCCUUGAAGUGCUCUGCUGCGGUCCCCUAGCAAAAUUAUGGUACAGAAAUGAGACAAAAUCCAGCUCAUGAAAGUAGGUAUUUUUUUUUGUCCAGCAUUCAUCAAAGCAGGAUAGGUGAUGUCUGAAGUUGUGUGUGUUGUUUUUUGUGUUAAUAUUUCUAACAAACUUUUUAUUGCAUUGUUUGAAAUUACAGAGCAAC